CCCUUAGAUGUCCGGGGCCGCACGCGCGCUACACUGAUGUGUCCAGUAAGCACCUAACCUCUUCCGAAAGGAACGGGUAACCUUUGCAAAGCACAUCGUGAUGGGGAUAGAUUAUUGCAAUUAUUAGUCUUGAACGAGGAAUUCCUAGUAAGCACAAGUCAUCAGCUUGUGUUGAUUACGUCCCUGCCCUUUGUACACACCGCCCGUCGCUCCUACCGAUUGAAUGUUCCGGUGAGCUCUUCGGACUGCGCGGUCUGCAGUUUCUGCGUUCCGUGCGGAAAGUUGCGCAAACCUUAACAUUUAGAGGAAGGAGAAGUCGUAACA
Molecule: ribosomal RNA, 324 nt
Filed under: uncultured eukaryote
Lineage: Eukaryota
Description: partial 18S ribosomal RNA
Rfam family: Eukaryotic small subunit ribosomal RNA
Source: RNAcentral